This is a long non-coding RNA of Panicum virgatum (switchgrass), 1135 nucleotides long. RefSeq lists it as uncharacterized. The transcript is spliced from 4 exons. The record is from RefSeq and is a predicted model, not a curated record. NCBI's taxonomy places the organism in Eukaryota, Viridiplantae, Streptophyta, Magnoliopsida, Poales, Poaceae.
GAGAUCCUCGAUCCCCUCCGCCCAAACCUCACCCGCCUCUCUCAUGCCUACCGCCCGAACCUCACCCGCCUCUCUCCUCUCCGGAUCCUAGGCCAUUUCUUCAUCUGAGCUCAGUACUUACUCUCGUGAAGCCCUGAUCCAAAGGCCUAGGGUUUCGAAUCAAAAGAUGCGCAGCCGGCGGCGAGGAAUCGAAUCGCGUGAGUAGCCGGCGGCCAACAAUUGGUGCGCUUGACCACCCCAAUUCAUUUGUCGCUCGCUUCUCCCAUUCCAUCUCAAACCCUUGAUCCCCCAGUUCGUGCCUAAUUUCUCGUCUGGCCUGCUUGAUGCGUCGGCGAGGGGGACGCCUCGCUCCUCCCUACUGAUGCGGUGAUGCCUCCUCCCCAUAUCCUCCGCAGGAGGCGAGCGAGGCCCUCCGUGGCGUCGACGGCUUAGCCGAGCGCAAGCUGCUAGGCGCCCCUGGUCCGUGCGCCGCGUUGGGCUCCGCGGCGGCUUUGUGGCAGGCGCACGGGGAUGCAGAGCCGCAACGGCGUAACUGUGCGGCCCGAGCGGCAGAGGAGCAGCGUCCCGAUCCCAGGAACUUGAGCUAUAAUUGACUGACAGGAAGCUUACCACCUGGUUUAGGCCAACCUUCACUUGUGUCACUUCUGUCUGGUAACAAAGGCCUCUAUGGUGUGCCUACCUUGCCUGCUUGUGCAUUAUUCCGGGAGAAAGGAGGGUUGAACAAAACUGGCAAAAUUGCACUUGGAGCAUCAUUCGGGUUUGUUCUUGUCAUACUGAUAGUGGUCUACAUUCUAUGCAUCAGAAGGGGCCAUAUGACUAUGACUUUGUUUGAGUUCCCUCAAGAUUUGACUUCCAUAUCGGCAAUCUCAGCAAAAAGGAAUAGAUACCAGAGGGUAAAGUUUGUGAUGCUUGCUGAGAUGGAGGCACUACGAUGUCUUCUUGGAUUAUCAAGUGUUUAUUUGUCUUUGAACUCAUUAAGACGUGUAUCUUAUGUCUUUACUUGGUUGUACCUUGUAAAUAAGCCCACAGGCCACAGGCCACAGGCCACGACUGAUAACACAUUUUGUAAUCCAAGUUGUAUCUAAGUUUGUGAACAAAUUGAUUAUUGAAAUGGCGAACCAUGUUUUGAUGUGCA